This 416-nucleotide ribosomal RNA is filed under the name uncultured bacterium. RNAcentral's name for it is "bacterial SSU rRNA". It matches the Rfam family "Bacterial small subunit ribosomal RNA", at positions 358 to 774 of the family's 1533-position model. The record is from RNAcentral.
GGAAUAUUCCACAAUGGGGGAAACCCUGAUGGAGCGACGCCGCGUGAGUGAAGAAGGGCUUCGGCUCGUAAAGCUCUUUUAUCGAGGACGAAUGCCGUAUUGGAUACGGAGAGACGGUACUUGGUGAAUAAGCCACGGCUAACUACGUGCCAGCAGCCGCGGUAAUACGUAGGUGGCAAGCGUUAUCCGGAUUUAUUGGGCGUAAAGCGAGCGCAGGCGGUUUCUUAAGUCUGAUGUGAAAGCCUUCGGCUUAACCGCAGAAGUGCAUCGGAAACUGUCAGACUUGAGUGCAGAAGAGGACAGUGGAACUCCAUGUGUAGCGGUGGAAUGCGUAGAUAUAUGGAAGAACACCAGUGGCGAAGGCGGCUGUCUGGUCUGCAACUGACGCUGAGGCUCGAAAGCAAGGGUAGCGAACA